Molecule: long non-coding RNA, 201 nt
Filed under: Elaeis guineensis (African oil palm)
Lineage: Eukaryota; Viridiplantae; Streptophyta; Magnoliopsida; Arecales; Arecaceae
Description: long non-coding RNA (EGUI_LNC041910)
Source: RNAcentral
CGAGGACAUUUAAGAAAAAGUAUUGGAAGCUUCAACCUGAGUUGAAGUCGAAGUGGGAAAAAAAUUAGAGGAUGAUGAUUCUAAGAAGAAAGAGAAAGUGGUAAAGGUUGAGGGGCUAUACGAACUCAAGCAAGUUGACUCUAAAUUGAGCUUGAUAGCAAUGGAAACAAACCUAGAACUACAAGAAGAAUACUUCCACUU